GAUGAACGCUGGCGGCGUGCUUAACACAUGCAAGUCGAACGGAGUUUACCACCAUGAUUUCUUCGGAAUGAUAAUGGUAAACUUAGUGGCGGACGGGUGAGUAACGCGUGGGUAACCUGCCUCACACUGGGGGACAACAGUUGGAAACGACUGCUAAUACCGCAUAAGCGCACAGCUUCGCAUGAAGCAGUGUGAAAAACUCCGGUGGUAUACGAUGGACCCGCGUCUGAUUAGCUAGUUGGUGAGAUAGCGGCCCACCAAGGCAACGAUCAGUAGCCGGCCUGAGAGGGUGAACGGCCACAUUGGGACUGAGAUACGGCCCAGACUCCUACGGGAGGCAGCAGUGGGGAAUAUUGGGGCAAUGGGCGCAAGCCUGACCCAGCAACGCCGCGUGAAGGAAGAAGGCUUUCGGGUUGUAAACUUCUUUGUCAGGGAAGAUGAAGAGACUGUACCUGACGAAUAAGCCACGGCUAACUACGUG
Molecule: ribosomal RNA, 481 nt
Filed under: uncultured bacterium
Lineage: Bacteria
Description: bacterial SSU rRNA
Rfam family: Bacterial small subunit ribosomal RNA
Source: RNAcentral